GCCUGGAGCAGUGGUGUACUCCUGUAAUCUCAGCAGCUCGGGAGGCUGAGGCAGGAGGAUUGAGAGUUCAAAGCCAGCCUCAGCACUGAUGAGGCACUAAGCAACUCAGUGAGACCCUGUCUCUA
This 125-nucleotide small RNA is filed under the name Marmota monax (woodchuck). Lineage: Eukaryota; Metazoa; Chordata; Mammalia; Rodentia; Sciuridae. The record is from RNAcentral.